RNAcentral lists this ribosomal RNA (432 nucleotides) under uncultured bacterium. RNAcentral describes it as "partial 16S ribosomal RNA". It matches the Rfam family "Bacterial small subunit ribosomal RNA", at positions 29 to 507 of the family's 1533-position model. The record is from RNAcentral.
ACGAACGCUGGCGGCAUGCCUAACACAUGCAAGUCGAACGAGACCUUCGGGUCUAGUGGCGCACGGGUGCGUAACGCGUGGGAACCUGCCCUUAGGUUCGGAAUAACUCCCCGAAAGGGGUGCUAAUACCGGAUAAUGUCUUCGGACCAAAGAUUUAUCGCCUUUGGAUGGGCCCGCGUUGGAUUAGCUAGUUGGUAGGGUAAAAGCCUACCAAGGCGCCGAUCCAUAGCUGGUCUGAGAGGAUGAUCAGCCACACUGGGACUGAGACACGGCCCAGACUCCUACGGGAGGCAGCAGUGGGGAAUAGUGGACCAUGGGCGAAAGCCUGAUCCAGCUAUGACGCGUGAGUGAUGAAGGCCUUAGGGUUGUAAAGCUCUUUUAACCGGGAUGAUAAUGACAGUACCGGGAGAAUAAGCUCCGGCUAACUCCGUG